This 3131-nucleotide long non-coding RNA is filed under the name Mus musculus (house mouse). RNAcentral describes it as "mono-ADP ribosylhydrolase 2, opposite strand 1". Lineage: Eukaryota; Metazoa; Chordata; Mammalia; Rodentia; Muridae. The record is from RNAcentral.
GAGAAAGUCAAAGGAAAGGUGGUGCAAUUUGUCCUGUGGCUGCUGAAGACUGGAAGGUGCUAGCUGAACAUGAUCACAAGAGGAAAGCUCCGUGCAAAGGGAUUGAUGUGUGCCUUCAGGCUUCCCAGAGAGCAGCCAUACUCCAAGACUGGCCCAUCUAUGAACUCACAGAAAAAUCACCAAGGUUAUGUUUUAUAAAACACCUAACCAAAUGAAGAAAUUAAUCAGUGUCAAUUGGAAUAUCAAAGACAAACAAACUGUCUAUAAAACAGUCUGAAAAAUGUAUGUGAGAGGACUUUGAAAGUGUCCUGCAGAAUACCACCAGUUCCAGCCCAUAAGAGGCAGAGGCAGGAGAGUACCAAGCUUGAGACCACCUUUGGCUACACGUUGAAGCUCAGUUUCAAAAUGAAAGCAAAACCCAAAUCCAAAGCACAAAAUCCCAAUGGUCAGCUAGUCGGCUUAUUCUCUCCUUCCACGAACAGGUUAAAAGCUCUAAUACUGCAGCCCUUAAAUGAGAUGCAGAAGAUGCCUUUUGAAGAGGCCAUGUUCCAGUUAUCAUGUAGAAGAAUGUGAAUUGAUCCAUUCUUAUCUCCUUGUACAAACCUCAAGUCUACGUGGAUCAAAGACCACCAUAUAAGACCAGAGACACUGAAAUUAAUGGAGGAGAAAGUGGGGAAAAUCCUCGAAGAUAUAGGUACAAGGGAAAAAUUCCUAAACAGAACAGCAAUGGCCUGUGCUGUAAGAUCAAUAAUCAACAAAUGGGACCUCAUAAAAUUACAAAGCUUCUGUAGGGCAAAAGAUAAUGUCAAUAAGACAAAAAGGCCACCAACAGAUUGAGAAAGAAUUUUUACCAAUCCUAAAUCUGAUAGGGGGCUAAUAUCCAAUAUAUACAAAGAGCUCAAGAAGCUGAACUCCAGAAAUUUAAAUAACCCCAUUUAAAAAUAGGGUACAGAGUUAAACAAAGGAUUCUCAGCUGAGGAAUACUGAAUGGCUGAGAAGCACCUAAAAAAUGUUCAACAUCCUUAAACAUCAGGGAAAUGCAAAUCAAAACAACCCUGAGAUUCCACCUCACACCAGUCAGAAUGGCUAAGAUCAAAAAUUCAGGUAACAGCAGAUGCUGGCAAGGAUGUGGUGAAAGAGGAACACUCCUCCAUUGCUGGUGGGAUUGCAAGCUGUUACAACCACUCUGGAAAUCAGUCUGGAAGUUCCUCAGAAAAUGGACAUAGUACUGCUGGAAGAUCCAGCAAUACCUCUCCUGGGCAUAUACCCAGAAGAUGUUCCAACUGGUAAUAAGGACACAUGCUCCAAUAUGUUCAUAGCAGCCUUAUUUAUAAUAGCCAGAGGCUGGAAAGAACUCAGAUGUCCCUCAACAGAGGAAUGGAUACAGAAAAUGUGGUACAUUUAUACAAUGGAGUACUACUCAGCUAUUAAAAACAAAGAAUUUAUGAAAUUCUUAGUCUGGAGGAUAUCAUCCUGAGUGAGUAUGAGUCUUCUCUCCGAAUUUCCCAGAGGACCCACUUUUACUGCAUCCUUAAAGUGGACUGAGUGGGUCAAAGAAGAUAAGAGCCUACUGAGAAUUUAACUAGCUUGCUUGGUUAUCUAAUAUAUUGAACACAAAAUUUCCAUGAAAAUGCAAAUUAUGAACUGACAAUAACUUUGUGUAUAUUCUUAAGAUCCAAAGUCAUAGGAAUCACAGAACUCUUCAUGGAGCCACCAUUGAGCUGCUCAUAUACAAAUGGGAAGUACAAGAUGCCUAGGAAUCCAGAGCUUUUAGUUCACCACAGGAAGACAAAACUGAUUUCCACGGGAGAAGCUGAAAUCAUACCGAUGCCAGGCCGGCUCUGACUUUGGCCUCUAGUGUUUAAUUUAAGGUCGGUGCUUGUUUUUAUUGCUCCCCCUGAUUUCCUGGAAGACAGACAAAUAAUCUAAAGAAUGUGAGUGCCUGCUUUGAAUUAAACCCACUGAGUCAAAUUACUGAUUGCAAGGCUAGUGGUGAGGAACACAUGGAUCUGCUCUGAGUGGAGUAGAAAGGCCCUGCUCCUCGGUCGCUUGAGAGGAGGCUGUCACACACCCCAGGGGCUUUGCCCAACCUCCCUCUGAUGGACAGCGAUUCUGAGACUGCUCCUUCGCAUUUCAUCAAGAGUGAUGACUCUCAGCCACCUUAAUGUCACGGCUUGGAGGCUCCUGAAGCAAUUGGUUUCGUAGUUUAUUUUGUGAACUGUGCUGUGGACACAAGACUUUGAAAAGUAAAGCUCGAGUUCCAAUCUAAAGAUCUGAAAAGAACAUUUUCAAUCUGUUGGUGCAGACUGUUCUCCAUCAGCCCAGCUGCCAGCAGUUACGCGUGGCACUGGGCAGCCUCACACAGUCGGGCACAGCCGCUCCUCUGGAUGCUGAGGCAAGCCGAGCGCAGAGAUUACCACAUUAUCAUCUCCCGACUGAAGCCAGAGUUCCAUUUAACAAGCUGACAAGAGCGCCAGGACCACAAAAUAACAAGCAGAAACACGGUGUGGUAUUUGUCAAAGAUAAAGGGCUGAGGUGCAGCUUAAGGCUUCUCAGAGGCUCGGGAAGACAUUCAAAUCAUCUGCCCCAAAUGUUUUCAGUGCCUUGAACUUUCUCCCACAUUGCUCUUAUUUGGGGGUCCCCAUUUUGGUACUGGAUGCUUCCUUCAACUGGCGGCACUCCUUUGAAGAAACUAGAAAUGUCCUCAGAGUCUGUUGAUUUUCCUAACAUGUUUUAAGUUUCUGCACAUGCACUUUGCUUAAAAGGCCAUGCCUACUUUCAGGUCUACAUUAUUGUUAAGCUUUUCUGGAGCUAAUUUUACAAAUUUCUUAUGAACACAUAUAUUUAUAUGCUGGAGGUCCACGUAAUAGUAUACAGCCUCUCUCUCUCUCUCUUUUUUUUCUUCUUGACUUUAAAGAAAGCACAGAGAGAGCUUUGUUUUUAAAAUGUCAUAUGGGGUGGUUAGAAGUAGGGGAAAAUAUAGUGUUUAAGUCAUAAUCUAGCAUGUCUAUCUAUCAUAUUGCUUUUAUUGCAUGAAAUGAUUUUUUAAAAGAAUUUUAGAAUUCUUUUUUUUUUCUUCUGAGUGUUCAAACCUAACAAAUACAACAAAGAAUAUGGUAUAUAUCAGAACU